This 253-nucleotide ribosomal RNA is filed under the name uncultured bacterium. RNAcentral's name for it is "partial 16S ribosomal RNA". It matches the Rfam family "Bacterial small subunit ribosomal RNA", at positions 524 to 776 of the family's 1533-position model. The record is from RNAcentral.
UACCGAGGUCCCAAGCGUUGUUCGGAUUCACUGGGCGUAAAGGGUGCGUAGGUGGGCAGGUAAGUCAGUGGUGAAAUCUCCGGGCUUAACUCGGAAACUGCCAUUGAUACUAUCUGUCUUGAAUACCGUGGAGGUUAGCGGAAUAUGUCAUGUAGCGGUGAAAUGCUUAGAUAUGACAUAGAACACCAAUUGCGAAGGCAGCUGGCUACACGAAUAUUGACACUGAUGCACGAAAGCGUGGGGAUCAAACAGG